AGAGUUUGAUCCCGGCUCAGGAUGAACGCUAGCUACAGGCUUAACACAUGCAAGUCGAGGGGAAACGACAUCGAAAGCUUGCUUUUGAUGGGCGUCGACCGGCGCACGGGUGAGUAACGCGUAUCCAACCUGCCCAUCACUUGGGGAUAACCUUGCGAAAGUAAGACUAAUACCCAAUGACGUCUCUAGAAGACAUCUGAAAGAGAUUAAAGAUUUAUCGGUGAUGGAUGGGGAUGCGUCUGAUUAGCUUGUUGGCGGGGUAACGGCCACCAAGGCGGGGACAUCAGUAGGGGUUCUGAGAGGAAGGUCCCCCACAUUGGAACUGAGACACGGUCCAAACUCCUACGGGAGGCA
This 354-nucleotide ribosomal RNA is filed under the name uncultured bacterium. Its description in RNAcentral is "bacterial SSU rRNA". It matches the Rfam family "Bacterial small subunit ribosomal RNA", at positions 8 to 350 of the family's 1533-position model. The record is from RNAcentral.